UUUUAGCUUGCUUGGACAGUUUCCUCACCACCACCAUCUCCAUUAGUCCAGCAGUCUACUAGUUACGGUUAAGACAGAGCCUAUAAACAACAGUGAGACUGACUACCACAGAAGGCAGCACUGGAUAGCCAUGCAGGCGAAGGUAACAGCACACACAGUUUCAGCCUCUCAUUUCUCCCUUUAAAACAGAGCCUAGGGGCCUCCCGAGUGGCGCAGCGGUAUAAGGCAUUACAUCGCAUUGCUAGAGGCGUUACCACAGACCCGGGUUAAUUCUCGGGCUGUGCCCUAACCGGCCGCGGCCGGGAUUCCCAUAGGACGGCGCACAAUUGGCCCAGCAUCGUCUUGGCUCAUCGCUAUCUAACAACUCCUUGUGGCGGGCCUGGUGCCUGCAGGCUGACCUCGGUAGCCAGUUGAACUUUCCUCCGACACAUUGGUGCGGCUGCCUUCCGCGUUAAGCUGGCGUUAAGCUGGCGGAUGUUAAGGAGCGCGGUAGGGCGGGUCAUGUUUCGGAGGAUGCAUUACUCCACUUUUUCCUCUCCUGAGCACUUUGGGGAGUUGCAGCGAUGAGACAAGAUCUAACACAUACGCAUACCCACAGAUGUUGUUAAUGUACCAGCCAUAUUAAAACCAACUAUUUGUCACGACUUCCUCCAAAGUCGGUCCCUCUCCUUGU
Long non-coding RNA from Salmo salar (Atlantic salmon), 673 nucleotides. RefSeq lists it as uncharacterized. Lineage: Eukaryota; Metazoa; Chordata; Actinopteri; Salmoniformes; Salmonidae. The record is from RefSeq and is a predicted model, not a curated record.